This 565-nucleotide long non-coding RNA is filed under the name Musa acuminata (dwarf banana). Its description in RNAcentral is "long non-coding RNA (MACU_LNC002846)". Lineage: Eukaryota; Viridiplantae; Streptophyta; Magnoliopsida; Zingiberales; Musaceae. The record is from RNAcentral.
GACAUGCACUCACAAGCAGGACAAGUGCCAACCUGAACCAUCUUUUAGUAUCAUUAACUCUCAUUAGCAUUGGAACUACUGCAACCCCUGCUGCUAUUGUCACCACAGCUGCAUUGGUAGUAGGUAAAGAUGAGGCAGAGAUCAUAAGAUGUACAAGUGAUUACUUCAUAUUUCAUUGCCUUCCUUUUAGUUGAUGAAGUGUUUCCUCAUUUAUUUUCUAGCAAUGGAGAAAUCUUGCUGAGAGGAUCUUCAACUAAUGGCCUACUGACCUGGUGUGUAGUACUUUGCACAGGAGUCUAUCAAUGUCUGGGUCUUGGAUCUGCGGUUUUGAGCUUCUUCGACUAAUCUUGCCAUUCUAGCAACUGCAGAUUGCUCAGCUAAAGCAGUUGUGCGCACACUAAUAUAACCUGCAUUGUCUCUUGCAGGUCAUCCGUGAUCAAAGAGUUAGUUGAAGAAGCAUGACAAAAGUAUUGUACCAUCUAUGUUUAGUGUGCCAGCCCAAACUGGUGACUGCGGCUGCUUGACGACAGGGAAGGACUCUCCUGUGAGGCUACUCUCAUCAACU